ACGGAGGAGCUAGCGUUGUUCGGAAUUACUGGGCGUAAAGCGCGCGUAGGCGGUCUAUAAAGUUGGGGUGAAAUCCCGGAGCUCAACUCCGGAACUGCCUCCAAAACUGCUAGACUCGAGUUCGGAAGAGGUAAGUAGAAUUCCCAGUGUAGAGGUGAAAUUCGUAGAUAUUGGGAAGAAUACCAGUGGCGAAGGCGGCUUACUGGUCCGAUACUGACGCUGAGGUGCGAAAGCGUGGGGAGCAAACAGGAUUAAGAUACCCCGCGUACACUAC
Molecule: ribosomal RNA, 274 nt
Filed under: uncultured bacterium
Lineage: Bacteria
Description: partial 16S ribosomal RNA
Rfam family: Bacterial small subunit ribosomal RNA
Source: RNAcentral